GUUUCUGGUUGGAGAUCCUUUCUUUGUGGAGUUUCCCUUGCGAGCCUACGUCUUCAGAGAUGGCACAGCCAUAACUCUGAUAUGGACUUCAGCAGAGAUAGAAGUAUAAAUGGAUCAUGAAUAAUUUCAAAGAGCAAGAUCUGAGACUCUGUCCAAUUUCCUCGAAUUAAUAACUGACUGUAGGAUAUGACCAAGCAAUUUGGAACCUGACAGCAGAGUGUUCUCUCUACAAUGAUUAGAAGGAUUUCCUUCAAGGUGGAUGAAGCACCAGUAUAAGUGGAGCAGCAUGCAGUUACAGAAGAACAUGACUGCUGAUGUCCCCAUGUAUUUUCAACACCAAUAAGCCAAUGUCUCCCUUUUUAUCAGGCUUCUGAUCUGUAAAAAUACUGAGGACUGUGCAAUUCUAUUGAAGUGCAUUCACUUUUAUCAGCUCGUUCCAUUCAUCUCCUUGCAAGAAGACAGGUGUUGUGGUUUAACCUGGCAUCACAUAGUUGUUCACUCAUUCUCCCCCUUCCUAGUGGGCUGAAUGAGAGAAUGGGGGAAAGAGAAGUAGAACUUGUGGAUUGAGAUAAAAGCUAUUUACUAAGAUACAGAAAAGGAUCAUAGUUAUGACUGUGUGUAUGUGUGUGUAGUUGUCACUAUCCUGGAUUUAACCAAAAGGGCAGUGCAAUAAUCUUUAUUGUACAGCAUUUUUAAAUAAAACACAGCUACAUUUUUCCCCAGUCUCUGUUCAUUUCUGCAGUUGAAAAGUAUGAAAUGCCAUAAAAACUGCCUGCAGAGAUUGUGGAAAGUAUAAACAAUCUUCUUUCGUAAGAGCAAGCUGGAUUUACAAAACCUGCAGCACCCACUGUUUAUUGAGUGGUGUGACAAGCCAGAUCAAUCCUGUUACUCUUGUUGUAAGAGAGGGUUUUUUUAAUCCUUGUAUAGAACAUUCUCCUAUUUCUGCAAACCAAAGUUCUUGCUGACUCUCAAACCAAAUUGUUUAUGCCUUUUGAGUCACUGCAUAAUAAAUCCCUUCUGUUGUUCAUACAU
This 1032-nucleotide long non-coding RNA is filed under the name Gallus gallus (chicken). RNAcentral's name for it is "lncRNA (ENSGALG00010019394.1)". The record is from RNAcentral. Lineage: Eukaryota; Metazoa; Chordata; Aves; Galliformes; Phasianidae.